RNAcentral lists this unclassified non-coding RNA (210 nucleotides) under Hevea brasiliensis (rubber tree). The record is from RNAcentral. Lineage: Eukaryota; Viridiplantae; Streptophyta; Magnoliopsida; Malpighiales; Euphorbiaceae.
UCAAGGAAGAGCCUGUUUGCUCAUCGUUGUUGUUGUCCUUGUCAUCAUCAUUAUCACUUUCUACUUUAUUGUCAUCAUUAUCACUUGUACCUUCUGAUUCUGUUUCACUGCUAUCUGAAUCUGAAGGAACCAAUGGUUGACCACUACUUAUUGCAGAUUCAGCAGCAGCUAUAGCUUCAGGAGUAUGAAGAUCAGCAAUACCCAGCAUUA